GUUAAGCGACUAAGCGUACACGGUGGAUGCCCUGGCAGUCAGAGGCGAUGAAGGACGUGCUAAUCUGCGAUAAGCGUCGGUAAGGUGAUAUGAACCGUUAUAACCGGCGAUUUCCGAAUGGGGAAACCCAGUGUGAUUCGUCACACUAUCAUUAACUGAAUCCAUAGGUUAAUGAGGCGAACCGGGGGAACUGAAACAUCUAAGUACCCCGAGGAAAAGAAAUCAACCGAGAUUCCCCCAGUAGCGGCGAGCGAACGGGGAGCAGC
RNAcentral lists this ribosomal RNA (266 nucleotides) under Shigella flexneri. RNAcentral's name for it is "partial 23S ribosomal RNA". It matches the Rfam family "Bacterial large subunit ribosomal RNA", at positions 1 to 268 of the family's 2925-position model. Lineage: Bacteria; Pseudomonadati; Pseudomonadota; Gammaproteobacteria; Enterobacterales; Enterobacteriaceae. The record is from RNAcentral.